This 22-nucleotide microRNA is filed under the name Sarcophilus harrisii (Tasmanian devil). Its description in RNAcentral is "Sha-Mir-7398-P9d-v2_3p* (star (passenger))". RNAcentral also lists the same sequence under 1 other name. The record is from RNAcentral. Lineage: Eukaryota; Metazoa; Chordata; Mammalia; Dasyuromorphia; Dasyuridae.
UAUAUUUCUUGCCUCUACCAAU